ACUCCUACGGGAGGCAGCAGUGGGGAAUAUUGCACAAUGGGCGGAAGCCUGAUGCAGCAACGCCGCGUGCGGGAUGACGGCCUUCGGGUUGUAAAACCUGCUUUCGCCUGUGACGAAGCGUGAGUGACGGUAAUGGGUAAAGAAGCACCGGCUAACUACGUGCCAGCAGCCGCGGUGAUACGUAGGGUGCGAGCGUUGUCCGGAUUUAUUGGGCGUAAAGGGCUCGUAGGUGGUUGAUCGCGUCGGAAGUGUAAUCUUGGGGCUUAACCCUGAGCGUGCUUUCGAUACGGGUUGACUUGAGGAAGGUAGGGGAGAAUGGAAUUCCUGGUGGAGCGGUGGAAUGCGCAGAUAUCAGGAGGAACACCCAGUGGCGAAGGCGGUUCUCUGGGCCUUUCCUGACGCUGGAGGAGCGAAAGCGUGGGGAGCGAACAGGCUUAGAUACCCUGUAGGU
This 451-nucleotide ribosomal RNA is filed under the name uncultured bacterium. RNAcentral's name for it is "bacterial SSU rRNA". It matches the Rfam family "Bacterial small subunit ribosomal RNA", at positions 335 to 794 of the family's 1533-position model. The record is from RNAcentral.